This 429-nucleotide ribosomal RNA is filed under the name uncultured Acidibacter sp. RNAcentral describes it as "bacterial SSU rRNA". It matches the Rfam family "Bacterial small subunit ribosomal RNA", at positions 355 to 776 of the family's 1533-position model. Lineage: Bacteria; Pseudomonadati; Pseudomonadota; Gammaproteobacteria. The record is from RNAcentral.
UGGGGAAUAUUGGACAAUGGGGGCAACCCUGAUCCAGCGACGCCGCGUGUGUGAAGAAGGCCUGCGGGUUGUAAAGCACUUUUAGUGGGGAUGAAAAGCCUGGAGCUAACACCUCCGGGUCUUGACCUAACCCACAGAAAAAGCACCGGCUAACUCUGUGCCAGCAGCCGCGGUAAUACAGAGGGUGCGAGCGUUAAUCGGAAUUACUGGGCGUAAAGCGUGCGUAGACGGUCGUGCAAGUCGGGUGUGAAAGCCCCAGGCUCAACCUGGGAAUUGCAUUCGAAACUGCUCGGCUAGGGUGCGGAAGAGGGAAGCGGAAUUUCCGGUGUAGCGGUGAAAUGCGUAGAUAUCGGAAGGAACACCAGUGGCGAAAGCGGCUUCCUGGUCCGACACCGACGUUCAGGCACGAAAGCGUGGGGAGCAAACAGG